Molecule: ribosomal RNA, 281 nt
Filed under: uncultured bacterium
Lineage: Bacteria
Description: partial 16S ribosomal RNA
Rfam family: Bacterial small subunit ribosomal RNA
Source: RNAcentral
UCUUUCCUACGGGGGGCAGCAGUGAGGAAUAUUGGUCAAUGGGAGAGAUCCUGAACCAGCCAAGCCGCGUGAGGGAAGACGGCCCUAUGGGUUGUAAACCUCUUUUGUCGGAGAACAAAACCCGGGACGUGUCCCGGACUGCGUGUAUCCGAAGAAAAAGCAUCGGCUAACUACGUGCCAGCAGCCGCGGUAAUACGUAGGUGGCAAGCGUUGUCCGGAUUUAUUGGGCGUAAAGCGAGUGCAGGCGGUUCAAUAAGUCUGAUGUUGAAACCUUUGGCUCA